GACGAACGCUGGCGGCGUGCCUAAUACAUGCAAGUAGAACGCUGACGGAGGAGCUUGCUUCUCUGGAUGAGUUGCGAACGGGUGAGUAACGCGUAGGUAACCUGCCUGGCAGCGGGGGAUAACUAUCGGAAACGAUAGCUAAUACCGCAUAAUAGUAGAUGUUGCAUGACAUUUGCUUAAACGGUGCACUUUCAUCACUACCAGAUGGACCUGCGUUGUAUUAGCUAGGUGGUGGGGUAACGGCUCACCAAGGCGGCGAAACAUAGCCGACCUGAGAAGGGGGACGACCACACUGGGACUGAGACACGGCCCAGACUCCUAAGGGAGGCAGCAGUAGGGAAACUUCGGAAAUGGACGGAAGUCUGACCGAGCAACGCCGCGUGAGUGAAGAAGGUUUUCGGAUCGUAAAGCUCUGUUGUAAGAGAAGAACGAGUGUGAGAGUGGAAAGUUCACACUGUGACGGUAUCUAACCAGAAAGGGACGGCUAACUACGUG
This 495-nucleotide ribosomal RNA is filed under the name uncultured bacterium. RNAcentral describes it as "partial 16S ribosomal RNA". It matches the Rfam family "Bacterial small subunit ribosomal RNA", at positions 28 to 507 of the family's 1533-position model. The record is from RNAcentral.